GGCUAGAUGACGAGUCCCAAACAGGACGAAACGCGCUUUGCCCUAGAU
Molecule: non-coding RNA, 48 nt
Filed under: Trichobilharzia regenti
Lineage: Eukaryota; Metazoa; Platyhelminthes; Trematoda; Strigeidida; Schistosomatidae
Source: RNAcentral